GCGAUCAUAUCAGUACUAAUGCAUCGGAUCUCAUCAGAACUCUACAGUUAAAGGUGUUUAGGCGAGAAUAGUUCUAGGAUGGAUGAUCCUCUGAAAAGUUCUCGUGUUGCACUCC
Non-coding RNA from Ilex paraguariensis (yerba mate), 115 nucleotides. NCBI's taxonomy places the organism in Eukaryota, Viridiplantae, Streptophyta, Magnoliopsida, Aquifoliales, Aquifoliaceae. The record is from the annotation of a GenBank genome assembly.